CUUGGUCAUUUAGAGGAAGUAAAAGUCGUAACAAGGUUUCCGUAGGUGAACCUGCGGAAGGAUCAUUAGUGAACGCCCUCACGGGCUUAUAACUAUUCCAAACCUCUGUGAACCGUGCCCUUCGGGGCUAUUUUACAAACAUGGUGUAAUGAACGUCAUAUAUCAUAACAAAACAAAACUUUCAACAACGGAUCUCUUGGCUCUCGCAUCGAUGAAGAACGCAGCGAAAUGCGAUAAGUAAUGUGGAUUGCAGAAUUCAGUGAAUCAUCGAAUCUUUGAACGCACCUUGCGCCCUCUGGUAUUCCGGAGGGCAUGCCUGUUUGAGUGUCAUGUAGACUCAAUCCCUCGGGUUUCCGAGGAGAUUGGACUUGGGUGUUGCCGCUCUGCCGGCUCGCCUUAAAAGACUUAGCGGGAUAGCACCGUAGUCGGCGUAAUAAGUUUCGUCGGUGAAGGUUGUGAUGACUGCUUACAAUCGCCCUUGGGCAAUUUUUGACUCUGACCUCAAAUCAGGUAGGACUACCCGCUGAACUUAAGCAUAUCAAUAAGCGGAGGA
This 553-nucleotide ribosomal RNA is filed under the name uncultured fungus. Its description in RNAcentral is "eukaryotic LSU rRNA". The stretch from base 177 to 330 matches the Rfam family "5.8S ribosomal RNA". Lineage: Eukaryota; Fungi. The record is from RNAcentral.